Conger conger (European conger) is the source of this 2734-nucleotide long non-coding RNA. RefSeq lists it as uncharacterized. The transcript is spliced from 4 exons. The record is from RefSeq and is a predicted model, not a curated record. Lineage: Eukaryota; Metazoa; Chordata; Actinopteri; Anguilliformes; Congridae.
GUUCAGCUGCAGAUCGCCACUUGGGAACACAUUCUACAGUGGAAUUAUAAAAUAAAACGUAAACUAGCGCGAGAUAAAAGGGGGAAACACAGCGUUUCUUUCGGAAGGAUCAAACAAAAACGCGGAUAAAACCAAGGUAAACGCCAAAGGAAAAUGAACCUACCCACUCAAAAAACAGGUUGGAAUUGGUGAAAGUCAGGCUCCUUCUCAUGUCUGAUACAUCAGGCAGUCUGAGUUUCAACAAUGGACUCCAACACCGCUUCUACCUAUGUUACCAAUCCCAGGGGGGAAUAUAGCAGGCCACCAAAUCCAAUUCAAGGAUUUUUUUUUUUUUUUUAAGAAAUGCCGUGAUGUUUACACGAACAGGACACUGCUAUUGCGGAUCCCAGAGAGCAGUCUUGUGGGCACCAGGAGGAACUCUUUUUGGAGUCUGUUUGGAGUCUUGUCUCUGAAGAUGGAGAGCACAGCCAUGAUCUCUGCUCUGCAGUGUGCAGUGGCACGCACUCACCCGGUACUGCAUUCUUAAACACCAGGGCCCUCAUUUAUUAAAUCAUCCUAAAUGCUCUCUGUAGAUGUUGGAAACCAACCAUCACCAAGAAGGAAGCUAUGAAACCGAUUCUGAAAAACAUGAAACUCUACCUCAUUAGUCAGUUGCAAGCAUGUGUUGGCACUGUUGUAGAGCUUGUGUGCCUUGGAAACCAACUGGAGAAGGACAACAAACAGUAACUGGAAUUGGAUCAAAACGCUGCCAGAAAAAUAGCACCCCUAUCCAGCCAAAGUCAAAUAUUACACCUUCACCACCUGCUGUUCUGUGCUGGAGAUGCAAAGAGAACCUUAACUCUGGCUCAUACCCUCUAUAAUCAAAAGCAUCACUCAAACAAACCGGCUCGCCAAAAUCCUGGCGAACCACUACAUGGCUAUCCGUCAGGAAGUGGUGUGAUGGGAAGGCAUAACUCAUCCCAGUCAACCAUCUCCGCAGAGGGAAGUAAGAAACAAGCUGUUAACUGACCGACUAAUGAUACCUGCCUUAUUUCCAUACUAACACUGCUACUUGUUCCUGUGACCAGCCAACAUUUCAUGGAUAGAACUAUUGUGGGAACAGGUGGAACUGCAGUGAGCUGAAAUGUUGAAGCAAUAGCAGAACGCCUGCUGUACCACUCCUUUUGGAUAGUUCUACAAAAAUAUCUAUAACUGUCAGAUGGUAACUACACCAACUGCUGUUCUCCCUGUUGAUUCUUUCUUUGGCAAUUGUGCAUAGUCUAGACGUCCUGUUUUUCUGUGGACUACAUAUAAAUGUAAUCGAACCAGAAUACUGUUUGAGGAGUAAACCGUUUCUAGCCAAAGAAUGCAUAUGAACGUAAAAACCACCAUGUUGUAUCAAUUUUCAACAAUAUUGCUCUGCCUAGUCCUCACACUUCCUGUUCCUUUGCACUAGACCUUAGUUAUUACAUCCACACAGCUGUCUCUGAAGCCCACCUAUCUCAACAAGAGAAGGACUGCCUAUCAUGGCAAAUAAACGGUCAAGACAGCCCGUAGACCUUCUUGUACAACCAUACUGCAACAUCAGAUGCACACUAUUAACUAUUAACCAACCUCCAAAGACAGUUCUGCCCCAAGCAAGACAUUGUGAACAAUCCAACUGAAAGAAAUUCUGUUGGCUGGAAUUAUAGAACCAUCACUCUCUGGAUGGGCAUUUUCUGUUGCUAUUCUGCCAAAUAUGGAAAACUGCUUUUUGUGUGGACUUGUGGAAACUUAAUGCUAUCACUGGAAAUUAUGGAUACCCACUUCCCAACGCUGCAGACAGCUGGAUUCUGGAUUCACUUGCGAAUGCUGCCGUCUUCUCCACCCCUGACCUGGACAGUAGAUACUAGCCAUUGAACAUGGAACCAGAAAGCAAGAGAGAGAUUAUCUUCAUGACCUCACAAGGGACAUACAGUAGUUUUAGAAGACAGAGCGCCAGAUUUACUAAGUCUUUUGCAAUGAUUUUCAGGCGCACAUACGACGCAUUCUGCCCAGGAAACAUACGUCGUAUGUAUCACUGUUCGCACGGGGCUAGGACCACUGUAUGCAUGCCAUCUAAGUGAGUCAUCGCAAGAGGAGCAUAAUGAGCUGUAGCCUUUGUAAAUAAGACGUUCAUUUCAGGCAUACUGCAACCGUGCCAACACACUCGUCCGGCUGCGUUUUGCGCUGCGAGCUUCAUGUAUGUAAAUCUGGCCCAAAGUGUAUUGAAGCUACUGUACGCAUUUCGGAAAAGCUGCUCCUCCAGUGUGCAUAUCAUGACACCCUAGUGAAUGGUCACUUUAGGGUCUGUUUGCCUAAGUUCCAUGUUGCUCUUAAUUCAGCUGUACUAGAACAGACUCAAGGAAGCACCUCAUACCACAUCCUAGUCAACGAGAAUCUCCAUAAAACCUGUGAACAUGAAAAAUGAAACUGUUAAGCCCUAUUAUGAUAUUAUGAUGUCCAAUCCCAUCUGCAAACAAGACUGUUUGUUGACUGUUUUAAACUAAAUGCACUUCAAAUUCCAAAAUGGAACGAUGUGAUCUCCAAAAUGUGAUCUCGCGACUAUGACCCUUGAAUUAUUGUGUGGUCAUGGACUCUGGGACUGUAAGCCCAGUACAUGUGUGCUUGCUACCCUACUGCAGAUGGAAGUGGAUCAGGUUGACAGACGAGAGGGUCUUUGACAUCAAUGAAGAGAACUAUGAUUAUGAUGAUGACGAUGAUGACCAACUUGGGU